Molecule: long non-coding RNA, 1593 nt
Filed under: Nicotiana tabacum (common tobacco)
Lineage: Eukaryota; Viridiplantae; Streptophyta; Magnoliopsida; Solanales; Solanaceae
Description: long non-coding RNA (NTAB_LNC014928)
Source: RNAcentral
AAACAUAUUACUCUUAAUUCAUAAAAUAAAAUAUAUCUCAUUGAAUCUAAACAAUCCAAAGGAAGUACUAAUCCAAAAUAUUAAUGUCAGAACUUCUAAAAUAAACUUAUAGUGAUUGAACUGAUAUAACUAAUCCUAUCAAAUAAUAUCUUCAAAUAGUUUCGGCAACUUUUCAUCAUAUUGAAAUCUUCCACAUGCGAAAUUUUUGAACAUAUCACCUGAAAAAAAUAAAAUAAACAUGUCAAAAUAUGGAAUGUAAUGUAUAAAACAUCAUGACUACACAUAUAAAUAUAAUGUGAAUUCUAAUAACAAUGUGAAAAAUGAGGCUGCAUGCGAACUAGGGUACCAAAUUCAUCAUGGUUGAAGAUAUUGAAGUGUAGUUUCUAAUAAGAUAAAUCGUUCUUAAGUUGAAGCUCCCUACAUCAAGUUGUAGUAUUGGAAUACACCCAAAAUAUUUUGUCUAAGAAAGAAUAAAGGAUGACAAAAGAAAGAUAAAAGAGUUAGCUAAUGUAGCAAAUGAAACUUGUAGUAUUAGAAUACAACUUAGAUAUAACAUUGUGGGAAAAAAAAUAAAGAUCUAACAUUUGGCAAGAAUUCAAGAUGCUACCAUUUCAUAUAAGUAAUACUUAUCUAGCAUAGGUAUACAUAUUUUGUUGGUUAUAUACUUUUGAAGCGAAUAGUGUGAGUAUUGUUAAUCUCAUCUUUUUGAUAUAAUUUGCACAAUUCCAUGUUACAAGUAUGGAAAAUGAGUGCAUUAACAUGAGGAAGAAGAUGGUGAAUUUGCAAAUCGGCUUAUAAGAAAAUCGUUUCAAUGGAUUCAGCAAAGGACAACUUUAUUUAGCAGUUCAAGAGAUUAUACAGCAGCAGAGGCAAGUUACUUAUGAAAGUCCCUCAGAAACUAGUAGAGCACAGUAAAAAGAUCAUUUUAUGGACAUAGAAUGGAAGAGUUUUCGGCUAAAAACAUCCUUAAAACUAUGAUCCAAACAUAUAUAAUAUUCUUCUAUUAUUAUAGUAGACAAAAAACGUCCCUUAAAUAAUUUCAAAUUGCAACAAUCAGCCUUCUAUUUUCUGUCUAGAAACUAACAACAUAAACUUGUCAAAUAUAUUUGUUGCUAUUCAUUAAUAGUUCAAAAAGUUGGUUGUUGGUCAAGCAGAUCAGAACAUAGUAUAGACAAAUACACUCAACGAAAAGAAGAAGAAAAGUCAGAGAAACAUUUUAAGCUUUUCAGAAAAACCCUAAAUCGGAAAGAAGUGAUUUUUGAAAUAAAAAUUAGGAAAACAUUUAAAAAACUCAAGUAGAUCACAAAUAUAGAACAGAUUUAAGAAAACAAUCAGAGAAAACCUCGAAUAACUAGGGUUUCAGAGGAACCCUAAAGCGACAAAGGCUUGGAAAAGGUCCGAUCUGAGUCGGAUAAGUCAGAAAUAGGCUCAUAAUGCUUGGAUAUGCCGGAGCAAGGCCGGAGAGGCCAUAGAACCUCGAAUUAGAGAGGAUCUGAACGGACACCAUUGAGGUCAGACCUCAAAACUUCGAACACCAAGUAUUUAAGAGCAGAGGGAGAUGAUUUUAAGCCAUCCAUGGCCUGAGAGGCCAUG